RNAcentral lists this ribosomal RNA (589 nucleotides) under uncultured marine eukaryote. RNAcentral's name for it is "SSU rRNA". It matches the Rfam family "Eukaryotic small subunit ribosomal RNA", at positions 613 to 1205 of the family's 1831-position model. The record is from RNAcentral.
UUGCGGUUAAAAAGCUCGUAGUUGGAUUUCUGUUGAGGAUGACCGGUCCGCUCUUUGAGCGCGUAUCUGGUUCAGCCUUGGCAUCCUCUUGGGGAACGCUACUGUGCUUGAUUGCAUGGGGCGGUAUUCAAGACUUUUACUUUGAGGAAAUUAGAGUGUUCACUGCAAGCGUUAGCAAUUGAAUACAUUAGCAUGGAAUAAUAAUAUAGGACCUUGGUACUAUUUUGUUGGUUUCUAGAACUAAGGUAAUGAUUAAUAGGGACAAUUGGGGGCAUUCGUAUUAACGCGUCAGAGGUGGAAUUCUUAGAUUGCGUUACGACGAACUACUGCGAAAGCAUUUGCCAAGGAUGUUUUCAUUGAUCAAGAACGAAAGUAUGGGGAUCGAAGACGCUUAGAUACCGUCGUAGUCUAUACCAUAAACUAUGCCAACUAGAGAUUGGAGGUCGUUCUCUUUAUGACUCCUUCAGCACCUUAUGAGAAAUCAAAGUCUUUGGGUUCCGGGGGGAGUAUGGUCGCAAGGCUGAAACUUAAAGGAAUUGACGGAAGGGCACCACCAGGAGUGGAGCCUGCGGCUUAAUUUGACUCAACA